This 253-nucleotide ribosomal RNA is filed under the name uncultured bacterium. RNAcentral describes it as "partial 16S ribosomal RNA". It matches the Rfam family "Bacterial small subunit ribosomal RNA", at positions 524 to 776 of the family's 1533-position model. The record is from RNAcentral.
UACGUAGGGGGCAAGCGUUGUCCGGAUUUAUUGGGCGUAAAGAGCGUGUAGGCGGCUAGGUAGGUCCGCUGUGAAAACUCGAGGCUCAACCUCGAGCUGUCGGUGGAAACCAUCUGGCUAGAGUCCGGAAGAGGAGAGUGGAAUUCCCGGUGUAGCGGUGAAAUGCGCAGAUAUCGGGAAGAACACCCAUGGCGAAGGCAGCUCUCUGGGACGGUACUGACGCUGAGACGCGAAAGCGUGGGGAGCGAACAGG